CCUGGCGGCCGUAGCGCGGUGGUCCCACCUGACCCCAUGCCGAACUCAGAAGUGAAACGCCGUAGCGCCGAUGGUAGUGUGGGGUCUCCCCAUGCGAGAGGAGGGAACUGCCAGGC
This 116-nucleotide ribosomal RNA is filed under the name Escherichia coli. The record is from RNAcentral. Lineage: Bacteria; Pseudomonadati; Pseudomonadota; Gammaproteobacteria; Enterobacterales; Enterobacteriaceae. RNAcentral also lists the same sequence under 1 other name.